This is a long non-coding RNA of Etheostoma cragini (Arkansas darter), 342 nucleotides long. RefSeq lists it as uncharacterized. The transcript has 3 exons. Lineage: Eukaryota; Metazoa; Chordata; Actinopteri; Perciformes; Percidae. The record is from RefSeq and is a predicted model, not a curated record.
CGCGCCAAUAUACCUGCGCGGCACCAAACUGUCUUUGCUGGCCCCUGUCUGUCUUUUUCAAGGCUGUAUAAUAAGGUCGAGUUGUGUGAUUUCUACCUAUUUUAAACGUCCGUCAGUUGGCAGUUAGCUAACGGACGUGUGUGUGCUCUCGCAAAGUUGUUCUUUACACAAAUGUGCAAUGGGAACUCUAUACGGUAUCUUCAGUGAAUGAAACAAUGCUGCAUCUGUCUCUGUGUCGUCAGACGGGAUUUGGAAGGAGGCUGUUCCCCACCUGAUGUCUUUACUGAGUUACAAGAACAAACCGGGUCGUGCAGAGAAGAGGAUGAGUGUGGGCCAAUGACG